CCUACGUGGGGCAGCAGUGGGGAAUAUUGCACAAUGGGGGAAACCCUGAUGCAGCGACGCCGCGUGGGUGAAGAAGUAUUUCGGUAUGUAAAGCUCUAUCAGCAGGGAAGAAAAUGUCGGUACCUGAUGAAGAAGCCCCGGCUAACUACGGCCCAGCCGCCGCCGGAAUACGUAGGGGGCGAGCGUGAUCAGUAUGUGCGGGGUGUAACGGGGGUGUAGACGGCAGGACAAGUCUGGAGUGAAAGGCCGGGGCUCAACCCCGGAACGGCUUGGGAAACUGUGCAGCUAGAGUGCAGGAGAGGUAGGUGGAAUUCCUGGUGUAGCGGUGAAAUGCGUAGAUAUCAGGAGGAACACCAGUGGCGAAGGCGGCUUACUGGACUGUAACUGACGUUGAGGCUCGAAAGCGUGGGGAGCAAACAGGAUUAGAUACCCGAGUAGUC
Molecule: ribosomal RNA, 440 nt
Filed under: uncultured bacterium
Lineage: Bacteria
Description: partial 16S ribosomal RNA
Rfam family: Bacterial small subunit ribosomal RNA
Source: RNAcentral